This 237-nucleotide ribosomal RNA is filed under the name uncultured bacterium. RNAcentral's name for it is "partial 16S ribosomal RNA". It matches the Rfam family "Bacterial small subunit ribosomal RNA", at positions 99 to 334 of the family's 1533-position model. The record is from RNAcentral.
CGAACGGGUGGGUAACGCGUGAGGAACCUGCCUCAAAGAGGGGGACAACAGUUGGAAACGACUGCUAAUACCGCAUAAGCCCACGGCUCGGCAUCGAGCAGAGGGAAAAGGAGCAAUCCGCUUUGAGAUGGCCUCGCGUCCGAUUAGCUAGUUGGUGAGGUAAUGGCCCACCAAGGCGACGAUCGGUAGCCGGACUGAGAGGUUGAACGGCCACAUUGGGACUGAGACACGGCCCAG